CAGGGCCUGGGUCUGGUUCAAGUAAUCCAGGAUAGGCUUGUUUUAGUGGGGGAAGCCUAUUCAGGACGACUUGGUUCAGAAACAAGGCCG
Molecule: microRNA precursor, 90 nt
Filed under: Hippoglossus hippoglossus (Atlantic halibut)
Lineage: Eukaryota; Metazoa; Chordata; Actinopteri; Pleuronectiformes; Pleuronectidae
Description: microRNA hhi-mir-26 precursor (hhi-mir-26-2)
Gene: hhi-mir-26-2
Rfam family: mir-26 microRNA precursor family
About the family: The hairpin precursors (represented here) are predicted based on base pairing and cross-species conservation -- their extents are not known.
Source: miRBase by way of RNAcentral